GCCGCAUUAGCACAAUGGUAGUGCGUUGCUUUCCUAUCGACCGAAGCUUCAUAGGUCUAGGCAAAGGUUGCGGGUUCGAGUCCCGUGUGUGGUU
Molecule: transfer RNA, 94 nt
Filed under: Marasmius sp. AFHP31
Lineage: Eukaryota; Fungi; Basidiomycota; Agaricomycetes; Agaricales; Marasmiaceae
Description: tRNA-Arg
Rfam family: tRNA
About the family: Transfer RNA (tRNA) molecules are approximately 80 nucleotides in length. Their secondary structure includes four short double-helical elements and three loops (D, anti-codon, and T loops).
Source: RNAcentral